GCUCUAUUGAGGAUUACUGCCAUGCGUCCUUGUAUUAAAACACAAAGUUGGGCGACAGUAUGUGCUGUGAGGAGGAUGCUAAGUGGCUGCAGAGUGACAAAGACAGACUGGCUGAGUGGGCAAACAAAAGACAGCUACAAAGACUUAUGGAUUGUUUCGCCUUUACUGUGACCUCCAAGAAAUUGCGUUUCUGGAAGAGGGUAGCACAUCCCAUCGUUGAUCGUUUUAAAAAUCAUCCUCCUGGAAGUGGUCAGCAAAUUGUGCUGUCCUGGGUCCCCAGUGACUGAAAAUCUGCCUUUUAAUGCAAAAACCUGAUACAUGCACAGAGAAAGCAGUUACCAACUUUCACUGAUGAAAUAUACAUGUAAUAACAUUGCAACAUCAUCGGCGGAGCCUCGAAUGAAGCGAUGUUGUUCUACUCUGCUUGAAAUUUAUACUGUCCCAGUCCGUUAUGGUGAGUACUAUCAUAAUGUCAGUACUCACUAUAACAGACCAGACAGUAUAAAUUCCAAGCGGAGUAGAAUAACAAUUUCAAUUUCAUCGGCGGCCUCACUGAUGUCACCCAGCACAGCGACGAAACGUUGCAGCAAGUCAACAAAUCUCACCCACAACAUGAGCUACAAAUCUUUGCUGAAACUUUAAAUAAUAGGGUUCAAAAAGCCCAAUAAGUGGGCAAAGACUCAUUCCAUGUUGGAAUUACAAUAGUCUCCAUACUGGUAGGGGCUACAUUGAACAUAUCCAAGGUAUUUGCAAAUGAAGCAAAGUGUGAUUUUGAGGGUUCUUUUACAGAUUCCACACCCCCCCACCCCCAACCUGAUACGUUCACAACAGACAGUGCACACAUUUCGCUUGGUAUUUCCCAGCACAGCCUAGUCUGUUGCCCCUAAAAGAACUGCUCCUGAAAAGAUGAAUGUUUAUUUGGAAUGGGAAGUAACAAGAGUAUUUCUCAUUGCAUUUAUAUAACAUCUUUAUCAUGAUUUAAAAAAAGCUUACAAAACAAGAGUUUUGCAGCGGAAUUCCUGAACAAAACUUAACACUUAGCUGCAGGAAAUUCUCAGCUAUUGAGUGUAACCUGUUCUACUUUAAUUUUGUGUACAAAGUAGUAAGUGAUGUCUUAUUGGAACAAAAUAAUUUUGUACACACUUUGUAUAUUUUAACUUUGCUUCAAAAAUUAGUUUUCACAAAUCACUUGUGGUGGGGGGAGAUAAAAGUGAUUUUUCAAAAUUAUUUUGCACAUUAUGGACAGUUUAUAACACCUUAAAUUAUGGAAAGCGAGGCUCUGAAUAUGUCAAUGGAGAAAUGCCAGAGUCAC
Long non-coding RNA from Stegostoma tigrinum, 1312 nucleotides. RefSeq lists it as uncharacterized. The transcript is spliced from 3 exons. Lineage: Eukaryota; Metazoa; Chordata; Chondrichthyes; Orectolobiformes; Stegostomatidae. The record is from RefSeq and is a predicted model, not a curated record.